GAUGAACGCUGGCGGCGUGCCUAAUACAUGCAAGUCGAGCGAACAGAUGAGGAGCUUGCUCCUCUGACGUUAGCGGCGGACGGGUGAGUAACACGUGGAUAACCUACCUAUAAGACUGGGAUAACUUCGGGAAACCGGAGCUAAUACCGGAUAAUAUAUUGAACCGCAUGGUUCAAUAGUGAAAGACGGUUUUGCUGUCACUUAUAGAUGGAUCCGCGCCGCAUUAGCUAGUUGGUAAGGUAACGGCUUACCAAGGCAACGAUGCGUAGCCGACCUGAGAGGGUGAUCGGCCACACUGGAACUGAGACACGGUCCAGACUCCUACGGGAGGCAGCAGUAGGGAAUCUUCCGCAAUGGGCGAAAGCAUGACGGAGCAACGCCGCGUGAGUGAUGAAGCGCUUCGGAUCGUAAAACUCUGUUAUUAGGGAAGAACAAAUGUGUAAGUAACUAUGCACGUCUUGACGGUACCUAAUCAGAAAGCCACGGCUAACUACGUG
RNAcentral lists this ribosomal RNA (497 nucleotides) under uncultured bacterium. RNAcentral describes it as "partial 16S ribosomal RNA". It matches the Rfam family "Bacterial small subunit ribosomal RNA", at positions 28 to 507 of the family's 1533-position model. The record is from RNAcentral.